RNAcentral lists this ribosomal RNA (484 nucleotides) under Pseudoalteromonas sp. ARK-12. RNAcentral describes it as "bacterial SSU rRNA". It matches the Rfam family "Bacterial small subunit ribosomal RNA", at positions 18 to 497 of the family's 1533-position model. The record is from RNAcentral. Lineage: Bacteria; Pseudomonadati; Pseudomonadota; Gammaproteobacteria; Alteromonadales; Pseudoalteromonadaceae.
CCUGGCUCAGAUUGAACGCUGGCGGCAGGCCUAACACAUGCAAGUCGAGCGGUAACAGAAAGUAGCUUGCUACUUUGCUGACGAGCGGCGGACGGGUGAGUAAUGCUUGGGAACAUGCCUUGAGGUGGGGGACAACAGUUGGAAACGACUGCUAAUACCGCAUAAUGUCUACGGACCAAAGGGGGCUUCGGCUCUCGCCUUUAGAUUGGCCCAAGUGGGAUUAGCUAGUUGGUGAGGUAAUGGCUCACCAAGGCAACGAUCCCUAGCUGGUUUGAGAGGAUGAUCAGCCACACUGGAACUGAGACACGGUCCAGACUCCUACGGGAGGCAGCAGUGGGGAAUAUUGCACAAUGGGCGAAAGCCUGAUGCAGCCAUGCCGCGUGUGUGAAGAAGGCCUUCGGGUUGUAAAGCACUUUCAGUCAGGAGGAAAGGGUGUGAGUUAAUACCUCACAUCUGUGACGUUACUGACAGAAGAAGCACCGGC